RNAcentral lists this ribosomal RNA (253 nucleotides) under uncultured bacterium. RNAcentral's name for it is "partial 16S ribosomal RNA". It matches the Rfam family "Bacterial small subunit ribosomal RNA", at positions 524 to 776 of the family's 1533-position model. The record is from RNAcentral.
GACGAACCGUGCAAACGUUGUUCGGAAUCACUGGGCUUAAAGGGCGCGUAGGCGGGCCCGCCAGUCUGUGGUGAAAGCCCCCGGCUUAACCGGGGAAGUGCCAUGGAUACUGCGGGCCUCGAGGAGGGUAGGGGCAUCUGGAACAGCCGGUGGAGCGGUGAAAUGCGUUGAUAUCGGCUGGAACUCCGGUGGCGAAGGCGAGGUGCUGGACCCUUUCUGACGCUGAGGCGCGAAAGCCAGGGGAGCAAACGGG